Molecule: long non-coding RNA, 1464 nt
Organism: Mus musculus (house mouse)
Lineage: Eukaryota; Metazoa; Chordata; Mammalia; Rodentia; Muridae
Product: predicted gene, 34846
Exons: 2
Source: RefSeq, a predicted model, not a curated record
ACACCUACUCCAACAGGACCACCCCUUCUAACAGUGCCACUCCCUGGGCCGAGCAUAUACAAACCAUCACAGGGUUCUAGUCCCAGCUGCUAAGUACGUUUACCCCCGGGAUCCCCUCCUGGAUCUAAGAGUUGAGAAGAAAGGAAGGUCAGAGGAUGGGCACUCUACAUGGGCAUCUUAAGGACAAUCAUGAUUAGGUCCAAAGUCCUUGUAGGGUGGGGCGCAUUGAGAUCUAGAACAGGGAGGCUUGUUCAGGGUUCCACGUCUAGGGAGUGGCCUGUGUAAAAGAGAGCAAGCCCCCCAACACACCUCUUAGUCAUUCGACUGCUGCCUCUGGAGCAGAGCAGGGAGGGAGGUCUGUGUGCCCAAAGUCAAUGGCAGCUCAUGGGGUCUGAGUGUAGAAUGUGGCUUCCAUUGAUGGAUGUACUGUCCCCAUUCUAAAGGCCUAAAACAACAUGGCAGGAAGAGGGGGAGUGGCCCCAUAGCACUUCAGUUUCCCAAAGCGUCUCACUUCCACAAAGGUGAUGGUGAGUAUGUUGUUACAGCAUUUACUAAGAAUAUAUAUCAGGACCAAGACUCAUCAAGACAAUGUACACGCAGCUCCUCUCUGACCCUCUCCUGACGUCUACAUAGGUCCUCCUCCUUAGUGUGAGGGUGACCGGCUACCCAAGUCCAGCCCUUACUUCUACAGAAACUGAGGUUUGAAUUUCAAACUCCAAUGAUCAGCUGCACGUGGAGGCAGGGACAAGCUCCUAACUCUGGGUACUCGAGCACUGGGGUGGCCCAGGCCUAACUCUGGAUGUGCACGCACUGCGGUGGCCCAGGCCAGGUGCUGUGGGCUGUUUGACUAUGCUCAAUCUUUUUGCUCCUCCAGAACCUGCUCCAUGAUCAGACUAGCUGAGCCUGACAUCUGCACCCUUCUAACUUCCCUGGCUUCCAUGACCUCCAUCUUCUGCUUGGGUUUGAUCAACCGGGGGCACCAAUGGAAGGCCAGGCAGUAGAAGACAAGGACCCUUUCAAUGUCAGACCAUAGCUGGCUGCUGAGUCCCCCACACCUCCAAGCCUCUGCUCUCCAAAGACUGCCUGCUUUUAGCCCAGCCCGCCAUUAAGUGCUCCUCGGCUACCCUUGAGAACCUUUGUGUCUUGCCUGGCUGAAUUCUUUGAAAAGAGGAUAGCUGGGACAUUGGCUUCCUGGAUCUAGCCUUUCCGAGAUGCCAGGAUUCUGGGAUCUCUGUGGACACCUGUCUGUCCUGGUGCUGCAUGCCCAGCCUGCGCCAAGCUCCCACCAGCCUUAUUUAUUUAUUGAACAACAUGCAAGCACAGUUUCCCUUUGUGCUUAAUGUGUCAGCGCUUCACUGGAUUCGGACUUCAAGGCUUGGAUUUUGUUGACAAUAAUGAGAUCACCCAGACAAUUAUCGUUUGAUUUUUCAGUUUGCUGGAAGAUUAAAGAAAGUUAAGACGCUU